UGGGGAAUAUUGCACAAUGGGCGCAAGCCUGAUGCAGCCAUGCCGCGUGUGUGAAGAAGGCCUUCGGGUUGUAAAGCACUUUCAGCGGGGAGGAAGGCGUUAAGGUUAAUAACCUUGGCGAUUGACGUUACCCGCAGAAGAAGCACCGGCUAACUCCGUGCCAGCAGCCGCGGUAAUACGGAGGGUGCAAGCGUUAAUCGGAAUUACUGGGCGUAAAGCGCACGCAGGCGGUCUGUCAAGUCGGAUGUGAAAUCCCCGGGCUCAACCUGGGAACUGCAUUCGAAACUGGCAGGCUAGAGUCUUGUAGAGGGGGGUAGAAUUCCAGGUGUAGCGGUGAAAUGCGUAGAGAUCUAGAGGAAUACCGGUGGCGAAGGCGGCCCCCUGGACAAAGACUGACGCUCAGGUGCGAAAGCGUGGGGAGCAAACAGG
Molecule: ribosomal RNA, 429 nt
Filed under: Chloroflexota bacterium
Lineage: Bacteria; Bacillati; Chloroflexota
Description: Chloroflexi bacterium partial 16S ribosomal RNA
Rfam family: Bacterial small subunit ribosomal RNA
Source: RNAcentral